GAAAUGCGAUAAGUAAUGUGAAUUGCAGAAUUCAGUGAAUCAUCGAAUCUUUGAACGCACCUUGCGCCCCUUGGCUAUUCCGAGGGGCAUGCCUGUUUGAGUAUCAUGAACACCUCAACUCUAACGGUUCACCCGUGACGAGCUUGGACUUCUGGAGGUUUUGCUGGCCUGUGGUCGGCUCCUCUCAAAUGGAUCAGCUUACCAGUGUUUGGUGGCGCCAUGGGUGUGAUAACUAUCUACGCCUGCGGCCGUCUGCUAGGAGACCUUCAGUGAUGGGGGUUUGCUGGGGCUUACAAAUGUCUCUCCUCAGCGAGGACAGCUUUUUGAACGUUCGAUCUCAAAUCAGGUAGGACUACCCGCUGAACUUAA
Molecule: unclassified non-coding RNA, 369 nt
Filed under: uncultured Thelephoraceae
Lineage: Eukaryota; Fungi; Basidiomycota; Agaricomycetes; Thelephorales; Thelephoraceae
Description: sequence contains ITS1
Rfam family: 5.8S ribosomal RNA (bases 1-106)
Source: RNAcentral